Molecule: long non-coding RNA, 2709 nt
Organism: Vicia villosa (hairy vetch)
Lineage: Eukaryota; Viridiplantae; Streptophyta; Magnoliopsida; Fabales; Fabaceae
Exons: 7
Source: RefSeq, a predicted model, not a curated record
GUACCUGGUUAAGACAUACUUGCCCUUUGGUUAAAAAAUGCCACCUCUCAUUUUGAGGGUUAAAAUGAGUCCAAAUAUUACUUUUUGGGACUAAAUUCUGACUUUGGCUAUCAUCUAACUAUUAGUUUCUUAUGCAGCUCUCUCUAUUGGUCAACUAAUGUACUAUUUGUCCUUUGGUUGCAUAUCACGGUUUCCCAUGCUGGCUCUGCUCCUCCUUUCUUAUGCGUAUCGUUUACACUUUCUCAUACCUACUUCUAAUAUCACAUAACAACCGUCUUUUUGAUAUCACCUCUCUCAUCUCUCUCAUCUCUUUCCUCAUCGUUUUCAGCUUAUUUCGUCUUUCCUUCGCUAUUUAGAUUUACAAAACACCGACGAUGAUGUUGUUGAUAUUUCGUUGUUGUUGCAGAUUUCGAGAAAUUGGAUUCAGUUGAUCUAAACUAUUUCAUCAACGAGUUGUUGAGAAGCUGCAUGGGUAGGUUACACCGUAACAAUCCGGCGAUGAUGUUGUUGAUAUUUUUUGUUUUUGAAGGUUUCGAGAAAUUGGAUCCGGUUGAUCUAUACCGUUUUAUCAACGAGUUGUUGAGAAGCUAAAUGGCAAGUAUGUCUGAAAUUCGAAGAUGGAAAAUACUGGAAAGUUAUGUUCAAGUUUAAGUAGCUGCUUGAUGGACAGAAUAUUGUAGAGCUAUUUUUUGAACAAAAGAGAAAUACAUUAGUUUCGUAACAUAAGUUAUUAUCGGGAGCUGCAAGGAAGUUUGUGCGUAACAAAAGCUUUGAAUGUAGGUCCUUCAUGAAGAUUUGAAUCGUGUUAAAUGUAAGCCUUAUGUUGAAGCCGAGGAUGGAGAUGGCCGGCCAGAUGAAGCAGUUGUUGAUGAAUAUUGACAUUAUCAUCUGGAUCGCAAUGAUUUAGUCGUUGUUGAUGUGUUCCAAGUAUGUAUUCAUCUCAUUUUAUGCAAUUAUUUACUUCACCAUGGCACAUACAUGAUAUCCAACGCUUCCAUGGCUUAAGGUUUGCACUGAGGAUGUUUCUUUUACAAAUCAUCUAUCUCCUGAAAAAGAUGGAGUUGGCUCAAGUAAAAACAAGCACUGGGCUUUCAAGAACUAUUGUUGAGGGAGGAUGACGAUGUUGGAUGGUUUGAGGUUGAGAAACAGUUUGAGAUUCUUACGAAUUCGAGGGAGGAUGGUUUGCUUCAUCGUUCUCUCUUUUAUGACAGGACACCGUGUUUGAUCCAGUUUCUCUAACUUGUGGUCAUAUAUUCUGUUACAUCUGUGCUUGCUCGGCUGCAUCGGUAUCUAUUGUCGAUGGACUUAAGGCCGCGAAUCCUAAAGAAAAAUGUCCUCUGUGCCGCGAGGUAAUAUUAACUAAGCUACAUGGCAAAUAAUUAAUUUGAAUAUUAUGAUAACAAGUUAAUUUGAAUCUUAUAAUAACAAAUUAAUUUGAAUUCUAUUCUGGAGAGGCAACCAGGCCAAUGUUAUAAGAUAUUUCCCCACACAAGUGAGUUAUUCAUCUCAUGGCAUUGUAAUUUUGAAAUGGUGAAAUAUACAUGUCAUUUUGUAUGUAAUUUUAAAGAAAAUAAAUUCCAAUAAAAUUAUCUACCUUAUUUACCUAUGUUUUAAUGCUGCAAACAUUCAUUUAGAAUAAGAACUCCUUCUUUUCCUUGAUGCAUUCUUUUAUAAAAAAAUUAUGCUGAAAACUCGAUCUGACAUCAAUUCUAUAUUAGUCCAGGUAUAAUUACAACAGCAGUUUGGGCUAUUAUUAUGAUCCAAAUACAGGGCUUUAUUGCUCUGCAGAAUCAGGGAAAUGGUAUUGUGUAUUGAUGAUUCUUCUUAGUGCAUGUCAUGUAUAAUUUUUUGUGUUUGUAGUAUCUUGAUUAACCAUCUGAAACAAGCCUUUAGAUGUGAAUGCUUUGCUCUUUUGUUUAAAUCCUAAUCCUAUUUUGGUUUUAGAUAUUUCUUAUACUUGUAUUUGGACUGUUUUCUUGCUGGGACUCUGAUUUUGAAAUUAUGUAUGGGUUUACAUGUAUGAAAUUUGCUUUGGUUUGGUAUGAUUUGUUUAAUUCUGUUUGGAUAAGCUGUUACCUGAGUUUGAUGUGGGUUUAUGCCGGUUCGAUAAUGAAGCACAAGUUUGCUUGGCCAUAAAAAAAAGAAAGGAUGGCAAUGAGGGAGCUGAAGUGUGAACAAAUUGAAGUGGUUGAAGGUCAUAAUUUUGGCUGAUUUUUCUUGGUUGGAAUGGAUUUGGGUAUUUCCUCUUGAAUUGUAAGGUUAUUAAUAGAAAGCGGCACAUUGUUUCUGCACGGGUAAACAUAUCAACAAGAACACGAGCAUUUUGUUGAGACGUAGGACUGACUGCCUGUUGUUCUCCUACAGGAACAAGAGUAAGUGAAUUAUUUGCUUUUCGUAUAAAUGGGACCAGAAAACGUGAACAAGCCCAUUAGUGCAAGUUUGCAAUGAACCAAACAAGCCAACAAGGUGCUUCAUAUGAUUGCGGCUGACAUGUUUCAAGGCCAUCCAAUUAGUGAAAGGAAGCUAAAGGAACUUCUUGGUCACACUCCAUCUCAAGUAUUUGCUGGUGCUGAUCUGCUUGGUUGUUUAGUAGCAUGCUUAUGCUGUCAAGGUGUUGUUUUGGUGGGUUAGAUGAUUCUGCCAUGUUUCCCCUUUUUGGAUCAAACUGAUGGAAUACUGAUUGAUAUAACAUACUAAUUGCUCUGGAAA